UUUAGGAUAGGAAUUGGUUAAUUCAGUCUCUGUGGAAUACGACCUUGCUUGCUACUGUACACAAUUACACCCGUACACUUGCGGCGUGUUAAUAAAAUUGCGAACAAGUUUUUGGCGCCGUUGCCGGGGACUGAUUUUUAUCAGUACUAUCUGUUAAUUGUUUGAUACUAAUCUGGAUUUUUUUUCUAUUUAUUUAAAUUAUGCUCUUUAUUUUUUUUCCUGUGGUCCUAAUUUUUGGUUCUGAAGUUUGCUAGAUAGUUCUAUGGCUACCGUCGAAGAAGUUCGUGCUCUGAAGGAGCAACUGCAGCGUUUUAUUGAGGCGCAGGAAAACCGUGAGGUUCAAAAGCAGCCUCCGAUCAAUGAGGCAUUUUAUCAACUUUUAUCAUAUUUUACUUUUCCUGAGAGCUGUGAGAGACGGAGAACGGAGCAAGAGCAAGAUUG
RNAcentral lists this long non-coding RNA (441 nucleotides) under Salvia miltiorrhiza (redroot sage). Its description in RNAcentral is "long non-coding RNA (SMIL_LNC013201)". The record is from RNAcentral. Lineage: Eukaryota; Viridiplantae; Streptophyta; Magnoliopsida; Lamiales; Lamiaceae.